AAAAUCCUCUGUGUUCAGGGCUGGCCCGGUGGCGCAGCAGUUAAGCUGGCACGUUCUGCUUCUCGGCGGCCUGGGGUUUGCCGGCCUGGAUCCCGGGUGCAGACAUGGCACCACUUGGCAAAAGCCAUGCUGUGAAAUUAUUCACUGAAAUAGAGCCAAGGAGAGGAGGAUGAAGACACAGAGGUAAGAGCUGGGUCACUCAGCCAGCCCUGGCUUCGAGGGGAGUAUGAGAAGAUUGGAAGAAUGAAUAAAUACUCAUGAUGAAGUCUUAACAGAAUGGGGACUGCUAAAUUAGAUGGUUUAACUGAGGCUGAAAUGGCCCAUGUCCUCGUUAUGGAUAAGCCAAUAUACAACUGCAUAGAAAAAAGCUUCAUGGCUCCUGUUCUACAUGAGGUGCCACAGGAAAGGCUUUCUCAAGAAACAAUACUAGUUGGAUGGAACACUCACCUGGCAUGGAGUCAUCCCCAUUUUCUGCAUGGCGGUGGAGCGUGGGAACUGCAUCUAUUCAACGUGUCUCUUACACGCUGCCUCAGCAUGCUCUAGGAUCUCUAACUGAAUUUGUCAACAAGAGAGAGUAAAAACUGGAAGAAGACUAUGCUUUUAAAUGCUAAAGACAUUUUCCGCAAUUUUCUCACCAGAACUUUUGAACCUUCCCUAGAAUGUUCUGGAGCUGCAUUCUUAGACCUCCCCAUUGCCUCCACUUUCAUUUCACCCCAAGAGCUGUUAGUUAAUAAAAACGGACCUCUAGAGCAGAUCUUCUCAGACUUUAUAUGCAUAAAAAUACGUAUACAAAUGCCUUGGGGAUCUUGAAAAAAUGUAAUUUCUGAUUCAACAGGUCUAGGGUAGGACCUGAAGUUGUAUAUUUUGAAUAAGCACUGGGUAAUGCAGAUGCUGCUGGCCCAUGGACCACCCUUUGAAUAGCAUAACUCUAGAUCUGCUUUCAAGGAAAUAAAAUGGAAUUAACAUUUGUAAGUCACAACUUGAGUUAAAAAGCUCCAGGUAAUUUAAAGAUAUUGUUUUACCCAAUUUUCUUAAGAACCUACAAAAUGUGUAUUAUGUCCAGUUUACAGAGAAAACCAAAACUUACUUAGAUAUUUUAAUUUACUCCAUAUCACCUAGUUAAAAAUCACAAAACUAGAAUUGGAUCCCAGUUUCUGUGACCCCAAAAGUCUUCACCCUUCUGACAGACCAAACUGCCUCUUAGCACUGAUGUCACUCUGAGUGCGCUGACCUGCCGGGGUUUUCUAGUUCGUCAGAGCAUCCCAGGGAUGACUAAGCCAGCGUUUGAACCCCCUUUGCACCCAAACGUCAAUACUAUGAUAGCACAGUGAUUUUUACAAAGCCAUAAAUACAGAGGAACAAAGAGAAUAGAAUGGGAAAUCUUUGGAAUACAGGAAAGCAGACAGGCAGGUGGUAACUGCGCUGACAACCAGACAGCCGGGUCUAGGAGGCUGUGGGAGGAGCCGGAAGUCAGCUGACGGCACCGUGGGUGAUUCCUGAGUCUCUGAAAAGGCCGUCUUGAGAGUUUACACCCUUCGCCAGAAGGACGAAGUGCUAGAAUUUUUAGAGUGGCUCAGGGCCUCAACAAGCAGGGAAGAGGUUAAGCUGUAAAU
This 1613-nucleotide long non-coding RNA is filed under the name Equus asinus (donkey). RNAcentral's name for it is "lncRNA (ENSEASG00005031062.1)". The record is from RNAcentral. Lineage: Eukaryota; Metazoa; Chordata; Mammalia; Perissodactyla; Equidae.